GUGGGGAAUUUUCCGCAAUGGGCGAAAGCCUGACGGAGCAAUACCGCGUGAGGGAUGACGGCCUUCGGGUUGUAAACCUCUUUUAUCAAGGAGGAAGUUCUGACGUGUACUUGAUGAAUAAGCAUCGGCUAACUCCGUGCCAGCAGCCGCGGUAAGACGGAGGAUGCAAGUGUUAUCCGGAAUCAUUGGGCGUAAAGCGUCUGUAGGUGGUUCUAAAAGUCCACUGUUAAAGAUUGAAGCUUAACUUCAAAGAUGCCGUGGAAACUUUCAGACUAGAGUAUGGUAGGGGUAGAGGGAAUUUCCAGUGGAGCGGUGAAAUGCGUAGAUAUUGGAAAGACCACCGAUGGCGAAGGCACUCUACUGGGCCAUUACUGACACUGAGAGACGAAAGCUAGGGGAGCAAAUGGGAUUAGAUACCCCAGUAGUCCUAGCCGUAACGAUGGAUACUAGAUGUUGUGUGUAUUGACCCAUGCAGUAUCGUAGC
RNAcentral lists this ribosomal RNA (484 nucleotides) under uncultured bacterium. Its description in RNAcentral is "bacterial SSU rRNA". It matches the Rfam family "Bacterial small subunit ribosomal RNA", at positions 354 to 852 of the family's 1533-position model. The record is from RNAcentral.